This 496-nucleotide ribosomal RNA is filed under the name uncultured bacterium. Its description in RNAcentral is "partial 16S ribosomal RNA". It matches the Rfam family "Bacterial small subunit ribosomal RNA", at positions 28 to 507 of the family's 1533-position model. The record is from RNAcentral.
GAUGAACGCUGGCGGCGUGCCUAAUACAUGCAAGUCGAGCGAACGGACGAGAAGCUUGCUUUUCUGAUGUUAGCGGCGGACGGGUGAGUAACACGUGGAUAACCUACCUAUAAGACUGGGAUAACUUCGGGAAACCGGAGCUAAUACCGGAUAAUAUUUUGAACCGCAUGGUUCAAAAGUGAAAGACGGUCUUGCUGUCACUUAUAGAUGGAUCCGCGCUGCAUUAGCUAGUUGGUAAGGUAACGGCUUACCAAGGCAACGAUGCAUAGCCGACCUGAGAGGGGGAUCGGCCACACUGGAACUGAGACACGGUCCAGACUCCUACGGGAGGCAGCAGUAGGGAAUCUUCCGAAAUGGGCGAAAGCCUGACGGAGCAACGCCGCGUGAGUGAUGAAGGUCUUCGGAUCGUAAAACGCUGUUAUUAGGGAAGAACAUAUGUGUAGUAACUGUGCACAUCUUGACGGUACCUAAUCAGAAAGCCACGGCUAACUACGUG